RNAcentral lists this long non-coding RNA (1752 nucleotides) under Callithrix jacchus (white-tufted-ear marmoset). RNAcentral describes it as "lncRNA (ENSCJAG00000085416.1)". Lineage: Eukaryota; Metazoa; Chordata; Mammalia; Primates; Cebidae. The record is from RNAcentral.
GGCAGUUCUCACUGCAGGUCUUAAGUGAGAUGCAGAGAUGUAUUGGUAUCAGUUGUGACCCAGUGUAUUCCCAGCUGUGGUAGCUAUAUGGGGAGACUCCUGCUUGAAGAAAGAAAAGUGAAGAGCGAAGGAGACUUUGCUUUCUGGCUGGGUACCAGCUCAGCUAAAGUGAGGACAGCUAUUGAUAUUUGGAUCUUGGCAACCAAACACCUCGCUAACUUCUCUAAUCUUUUCUAACAAUUUUCAUUUGCUAUCUCUACGUUUUCCAGGUAUGUAAGCAUUUAAAAAAAAUGACAAUUAUCUUCCUUCUUAAUUUCCACAUUUUAUUCUUCAUUUUUUCUCUGGUUCAAUUUCAUUAACUAGGUAAUUGUAAUAUUGUUAUUUUACUCUUAGUUAAGUGAGGAUUCCCAAUUUCAAUUUUUCUAACAGGAAGAAGACAGUUACGCUCACUAGAGCAUCAUAAUAUUGAUAAAGGGAAUAAUUGUCUUAUUCCUAGCUUUAUUGAGAAUAUUUCUUGGUAAAAUUCUUGGAUGAAUUAUUCAAUGUAAAUGCUAGACUGAGUUUAUAAAUAUUAAAUCAUUUACUUUGCAUAUAAUAAUAUGGAGUAAGGUAUAUGUAAUCAUCUCCAUUCUACAGUUGAGAAAACUUUAGGAUAGUGAAAAAUAUGUAUCCCACAAUAAAUGUAUGACAAAAUUAAUAAGUUGUACAUGGUUCUACCUUAAAACUAAGAUCAAAUAAAUAAAACAUUAAAAAGAUUUAAUUACCUCCAAAAAGAAGAUAGAUUUGCAUAAACUCCAUUUUAUGGAGUUUCAGAUGUGAAGGACAGUUGCUCUAUUGCUGUUCUCAAAAAGUACUAGCAACUUCUUUGGUACAAUAAAGAAAUGUCAGAUUGAUAAAAUAUUCCCAUCAGAAAUCUGGGAAUCUUAUAUAUCUAGACAUUACAAAAACCAGCACACAUUUCUGUUUUCAUUGUGAGUCAUUUCUUAUACUUCUUUUUUCUGAGAUGAGCAUUAUUCAUCACCAUAAGAAUUUAUCCUUUCUUGGUGUUAUAAACAAUCCAAUUAUACUCAUUUAGUUGUUUUUAAAGGAACAGUUAUUGUUGGCUGGAAUCACACUGUUGUGCAAUGAAAUACAACAUCUUAUUCUUUCUAUCUCACUAUAUUUUUGUACCCAUUAACCGUCCCCACUCUUACCCCUCCACCCCCACUACCCUUUCCAGUCUCUAGUAACCUUUCUUCUACUCUCUGUCUCCAUGAGUUCAGUUGUUUCAUUUUUGGAUGAAUUAAUCAAUGUAAAUAUUAGGCUGAGUUUUAUAAAUAUUAAAUGAAUUUGCUAUAGAUGUAUGGAUUUGUUUUUUGGUUCUCUGUUCUGUCUGCUUAGUCUGUAUGUUUGUUUUCAAACCAGUACUUUGCUUUUUGAUUGCAAUAUCUCCAUAGUACAAUUUGAAAUCAAGUAAUGUGAUUCCUCCAGUUUUGGGCUUUAUGCUUAGGAUGGCUUUGGGUCUUUUAUGGGUCUGUGUCAAUUUUAGAAUUAUUUUUUCUAUUUCUUUGAAGAAUGUUGUUGGUAUUUUGAUAGAGAUUGCAUUGAAUCUGUAGAUUGCUUUGGGUAGCAUGAAAAUUUAACAAUAUAGUUCAUACAAUCCAUGAACAUGGAAUAUGUUUCCCUUUUUGUAUGCUUCUUAAUUUCUUGCAUCAAUGUUUUAUAGUUUUCAUUGUAGAGAUUUUUCAUUUUUUUGGUUAAGUUUAUUCCUAG